UACGAAGGGGGCGAGCGUUGUUCGGAAUCACUGGGCGUAAAGGGCGCGUAGGCGGCCCUCUUAGUCGCGUGUGAAAGCCCCGGGCUCAACCUGGGAACGGCGCGCGAAACGGGAGGGCUGGAGUUCGGGAGAGGAGAGUGGAAUUCCCAGUGUAGAGGUGAAAUUCGUAGAUAUUGGGAAGAACACCAGUGGCGAAGGCGGCCGACUGGUCCGGUUCUGACGCUGAGGCGCGAAAGCGUGGGGAGCAAACAGG
RNAcentral lists this ribosomal RNA (253 nucleotides) under uncultured bacterium. Its description in RNAcentral is "partial 16S ribosomal RNA". It matches the Rfam family "Bacterial small subunit ribosomal RNA", at positions 524 to 776 of the family's 1533-position model. The record is from RNAcentral.